GUUACCAGCACGUAUGGUGGGCGACUCUAAGGAGACUGCCGGUGACAAACCGGAGGAAGGUGGGGAUGACGUCAAGUCAUCAUGGCCCUUACGGCCUGGGCUACACACGUGCUACAAUGGUCGGUACAAAGGGUUGCCAAGCCGCGAGGUGGAGCUAAUCCCAUAAAACCGAUCGUAGUCCGGAUCGCAGUCUGCAACUCGACUGCGUGAAGUCGGAAUCGCUAGUAAUCGUGAAUCAGAAUGUCACGGUGAAUACGUUCCCGGGCCUU
RNAcentral lists this ribosomal RNA (269 nucleotides) under uncultured Pseudomonas sp. Its description in RNAcentral is "partial 16S ribosomal RNA". It matches the Rfam family "Bacterial small subunit ribosomal RNA", at positions 1114 to 1382 of the family's 1533-position model. The record is from RNAcentral. Lineage: Bacteria; Pseudomonadati; Pseudomonadota; Gammaproteobacteria; Pseudomonadales; Pseudomonadaceae.